UACGGAGGAUGCAAGCGUUAUCCGGAUUCAUUGGGUUUAAAGGGUGCGCAGGUGGGAAAAUAAGUCAGUGGUGAAAUACUGCCGCUUAACGGUAGAAUUGCCAUUGAUACUGUUUUUCUUGAGUAUGGUUGAGGUAGGUGGAAUGUGUUGUGUAGCGGUGAAAUGCAUAGAUAUGACACAGAACGCCAAUUGCGAAGGCAGCUUACUAAGCCAUUACUGACGCUGAGGCACGAAAGCGUGGGGAUCAAACAGG
RNAcentral lists this ribosomal RNA (253 nucleotides) under uncultured bacterium. RNAcentral's name for it is "partial 16S ribosomal RNA". It matches the Rfam family "Bacterial small subunit ribosomal RNA", at positions 524 to 776 of the family's 1533-position model. The record is from RNAcentral.